CCGCUGUCGCCGCCACCGCCUCCCGUUCUCCCUCUGCCGGCGCUCCUCCUGCUCUCCUCCGCCGCCACACGCUCCCGCAGGAUCCACGCCGCCCCUCUCCCUAACCCUUCCUCUCUCUCUCUCUACCCCGGCGGUGCCUCCUCUCUUUUCUCUCUCCCGGCGCCUUUUUCCCGGCGAUGUCUCUCCUCACCCUUCACCCCUCCUCGCGCCACGGGCCGGCGUGGAUCCAGAGGACUAGCUCGCAGCGCGGCCGGCAGCGGCAUCGCGCGGGAGACAGAGGCGCGGUCGGCCGCGCCACGCUCGCCUCCUAACCUACGCCGCGCGGCCUCCCCUCCGCCCUCCACCGUCAGCAAAGGACAAGAACCGAGCCGAGCUGAGCCGGUGGGCUCGCUGCUCCCGGCCGGCCGUACCUCCGUCGCCUCUCCCCGACGGCGCUCCUCUGCUCUCUGGUCUCCACCGCCGCCUGCUCCCGCGGGAUCCAGAUCUGGCGCGGGGCGCCGCUCGGAGUGAGGGGCCACGGGCAGCAUCCUGGGCACACGGCUGCGGUUCCCUACUUGUCCCGCUCCUCCGAUCACGACGAGCUCCGAGAUCGGCUCCGCGCCGCCGCUACCACCACAGCACCCGCCACUCCCUCCGGCUACACCACGCCGCCCCCGCACACCUCCUCGAAGGGAUGACGCCGGCUUCGAUGCGCGGGCGGCGCUUGAGCGCGAGCACCGCUGCAGGUCGGACGGUGCGCAGCCGCAUCUGGUGAACAUCCAGUUCCAGAAGAAGGUGCAGUUGGAGCUUGUUGCGCUCUACAUGGAUUUCAAGCUCGGCUAGAGCUACACGCUGAGAAAGAUCUCCAUCCGGGCUGGGGAUGGCUUCCACAACCUCGAGGAAAUUAAAAUUGUGGAGCUUGCAAAGUCUGUUGGUUGGGUCCAUAUAUCAUUAUCUGGGGCUGAUCCACGGUAUGCAUUUUAACUUGUAGAUGAAUGCUACUUUCUGAAAUUGUAUUUUGCCACUUCCUGAAAUGCCAUGGAAGAGUCUGUCAUAAGUUCUAGGAUGAAUUUUAUCUGGAAGUUAUUUUCAACGGUAUUCCUCUCACCCCCAGCAAACACUAGAUUUUUUGGUUUCUUGUUUUGUCUUGCUGGCUAAGAUGUAAUUUCAUUGUGCAUUCUGUCAGAUGUGAAUUGUGCCAUGGUCAAGCAGAGGGAUUUCAUUCUAGAUUCUGCAAGGGAGAAAGAUUUUAUCAGAAGAAGGCCAUGUAGUUACUUACUUAGACUCUUAGAAGGAAUUAGUACUUCAGAAGAAGGUUAACUCGAUUGGAGACAGAUAGCCACAAAUCGUCUGUGGAUCAGAUCAUCGGAUUUGAAUCCGACAAGGCUGCACGUGCUACCAGGUAACACAAUGGUCGUUGCUUGAUGUGGGCCCUUCAUUGGUAAUGACUCCUCAUUCCUCGCUCUUCUCAAUUAAGGUAGUGCUCCCAUUCCCCUUCCUAAGUAUAGCUUCCUGAUCUGGUUUUUUGCCUAGGAUUUCAUCUUUAGCUGUGAUUGUGAGCAUAUAAAUUGUAGCUGCUUGCUUUAUAAUGCAUGCUACCUGAGCUAAUAGCUUGUGUAUAUAUGAGGCUGAUGACAUCAUUAUUAGCUUAAUUGUGAAUAAGCUCUUUGUUACAACUGAUGGUUACUUAUUAGAUGCUGAGGAUUUCAGCGUGGUUGUGGUCUUGUGGAUGAGCUUGGAUGUAAGCUUCAUAGUUAAUAGUUAAUAGCCUGAGUAUUUUAGAAACUUUGGCAUAGUUAAUUUUCGUGGGUGUUAGUACUGCAUGGAAAUCUGUACUUUGACCAGCAACCAAAAGGUCUGGUUGGUGGUUCUCUUAUAUUUGGUUAUUUCUUUAAUCUGAAAUAGCUCACUGAGUAUUAAUUCUGUUUUGAUGUCCUCUUUAUUUAUGCAGUGACUUGUGCUUCCACAUGCAACGAUUUGUUGAACCAAAAGGUUAUUGUGCAGGCCAAUAUGUUUAUUGCACUAACACCGGCUAAGGUUAUCUUUAAGUGGCAAAUAUAAUAUAGUAGAAGGCGAUCAUUCCGUGUCUAUUUGGAUUUGGUCUUCGGGAAGCUCAUUACAUAUGCCUACAGUGGUGGAGCUGCUGCUUGAAUCGAUGGGAAAUGGAGGAGUUGCGGUCCUGUUGCUUGUGAUUCAUGUGCUCGAGAGGAGCUGCUGCUUGCUUGCAUUAGAGAAAAGAAGCAAUCCUUCGGGGAGGUAUGUAUAUGUUCUGAUUGGUGUCUUGAUAAGACACACUAUAAGCAUGAAGUCCCUUUGAUGCUAUUCUUCAGGUCCUGUUUUAACUUUUGUUCAUCAACAAAUCUGAUAUUCACCUGACUCUCCCAAUAGGCCAUGCUGGAGGUGAGAUAGCUGACUUCUUCAUUGUUCCGAGGAAUACUGAUGCCAUCACGACAUUAAGUGGAAAGGCAUAUCUAUCUGCGUUGGUGUUAGUGCUUUUGCUGGCCAUGUUGGAAGCUGAGGCUGACUUCCAUGCUGGUGAUGGCUAUGCUAGAAAAGAAUUAAGAUCAGAGAUAGACAAAGAAUUCAGAGAUACAUAUUCAGAUUUAAUUUGUUGAAUAGCAAAUUUAUAUUUGUAAAAUAGUAAUAUUUAGAGUGUUGGCUGAUGCACCAUGCCCAAUCCUGAGGAGCAUGUAGUUUGCCAUGUUUUGCUUCUUU
Long non-coding RNA from Panicum virgatum (switchgrass), 2694 nucleotides. RefSeq lists it as uncharacterized. The transcript has 6 exons. NCBI's taxonomy places the organism in Eukaryota, Viridiplantae, Streptophyta, Magnoliopsida, Poales, Poaceae. The record is from RefSeq and is a predicted model, not a curated record.